AAGUCUAAAACGACUCUCGGCAACGGAUAUCUCGGCUCUCGCAUCGAUGCCGAACGUAGCGAAAUGCGAUACUUGGUGUGAAUUGCAGAAUCCCGUGAACCAUCGAGUCUUUGAACGCAAGUUGCGCCCCAAGCCUUCUGGCCGAGGGCACGUCUGCCUGGGUGUCACA
RNAcentral lists this ribosomal RNA (169 nucleotides) under Alyssopsis mollis. Its description in RNAcentral is "5.8S ribosomal RNA". It matches the Rfam family "5.8S ribosomal RNA". From Rfam's summary of the family: 5.8S ribosomal RNA (5.8S rRNA) is a component of the large subunit of the eukaryotic ribosome. It is transcribed by RNA polymerase I as part of the 45S precursor that also contains 18S and 28S rRNA. The record is from RNAcentral. Lineage: Eukaryota; Viridiplantae; Streptophyta; Magnoliopsida; Brassicales; Brassicaceae.